CAGGAAUAGAGACAGAAUUAAAUUUUUUAGUAGUUGUACGAAGAAAGAUGAAGAAUGAAAGAACCAAAUCCUCACCACUCUUUCUGAAAAGUUUUGAUUCUGUCUCUGAGCCUUCAUCCUGCCAGCUUGUGACCAUUUGGAGGACUCAUCACUUCUACAGGUGUCAAAGUGGCACUCUUCUACUUCCAUGUCUCUCUGGGGACUUCAGAACAUUUGCAAGCUGAAAACAUCAGGUCAGUGGUUGUGUCUCUGUAGAUAAACCUUGAAUAUAUUUGUCUCUGGGACAUUGCCAGGUGGCAGGCGUUUACUAUCCAAUAUUCCCACUGCCUGAGUUUCCAGCAACCCGAAGAUGACUUCCUCUUUCAGGAAAAGCAGCAAGAGCUUUGCUUCAGUUUCUUCAAAUUGGUGAUGAAACAUAUAAAUAUUCUAUCAUAAUAAAAGGGCAAAGAAAGG
RNAcentral lists this long non-coding RNA (453 nucleotides) under Pan paniscus (pygmy chimpanzee). RNAcentral's name for it is "lncRNA (ENSPPAG00000044691.1)". The record is from RNAcentral. Lineage: Eukaryota; Metazoa; Chordata; Mammalia; Primates; Hominidae.